RNAcentral lists this unclassified non-coding RNA (345 nucleotides) under soil metagenome. RNAcentral's name for it is "partial contains 5.8S ribosomal RNA, internal transcribed spacer 2, and large subunit ribosomal RNA". The stretch from base 1 to 120 matches the Rfam family "5.8S ribosomal RNA", at positions 35 to 154 of the family's 154-position model. The record is from RNAcentral.
GAUGAAGAACGUAGCGAAAUGCGAUACGUAAUGUGAAUUGCAGAAUUCAGUGAAUCAUCGAGUCUUUGAACGCACAUUGCGCCCCCUGGUAUUCCGGGGGGCAUGCCUGUCCGAGCGUCAUUGCUGCCCUCAAGCACGGCUUGUGUGUUGGGCCUCCGUCCUCCUCCCGGGGGACGGGCCCGAAAGGCAGCGGCGGCCCCGCGUCCGGUCCUCGAGCGUAUGGGGCUUCGUCACCCGCUCUUGUAGGCCCGGCCGGCGCUUGCCGACACAUCAAUCUUUUUUCCAGGUUGACCUCGGAUCAGGUAGGGAUACCCGCUGAACUUAAGCAUAUCAAUAAGCGGAGGA